AGAUAGAGAUAAGACAUCCUGGAAGCCCAGGGUCCAGAUUUCUGUCAUACUUGACAAUCAGGAGAGCUGUCUUAAAUAAGGUAAAAGUCAGAAGUGAUUCCCAAGGCUGUCUCCUGAUUCCACAUGUUCUACAUGUGAUUAAAAACAUCAAAAGGGCAGGCUGGAUAUGCUGGUGCACUGUUGUUUUUUUUAACAAAAUCUUUGUAAAAACACCAGUCAAUUUUACUAGUGAAGACUGGGCUGCCAGAUGCUGGGGUGAAAGCCCGCUAGUUCAGAGAGGCAGAGAAAGCACCCAGUUGACCUUCCUCCUCAGCCUUUGGUCAGAAGCAGUCCCAUCAGGCUAUCUCAAAAAAAACAAACAAACAAAAAAAAAAAACCCAUCUACAAACUCAGUGUCUGUCCCUUCUACUUCCCAUGUGUGUCUCUAUCCACCUCCUGACUCCCUCUUACUCUCUAUGUUUGUUCUUAAUAAUCCUGUGUUCAUUUCCUGUCAACUGAUUGCUUGCUCCACCUCUUGACUUAUGGUUGACUUUAAUAUCUAUAACAGUACACACCUUUAAUCUCAAACCCUCAGGUGUUAGAGGCAGGACACGAUCUCUGAAUUUGAGAUUAGUUCAUUCUGAAUACCAACUUCUAGUCCAGCCAGGGCUAGCUAUGUAGUGAGACCCUUCCUGAAAAAAAAG
This 683-nucleotide long non-coding RNA is filed under the name Rattus norvegicus (Norway rat). RNAcentral describes it as "long non-coding RNA NONRATT010470". The record is from RNAcentral. Lineage: Eukaryota; Metazoa; Chordata; Mammalia; Rodentia; Muridae.